This 255-nucleotide ribosomal RNA is filed under the name uncultured bacterium. RNAcentral's name for it is "partial 16S ribosomal RNA". It matches the Rfam family "Bacterial small subunit ribosomal RNA", at positions 332 to 599 of the family's 1533-position model. The record is from RNAcentral.
GCCACCCUACGGGAGGCAGCAGUCGAGAAUCAUUCACAAUGGGGGAAACCCUGAUGGUGCGACGCCGCGUGGGGGAAUGAAGGUCUUCGGAUUGUAAACCCCUGUCAUGUGGGAGCAAAUUAAAAAGAUAGUACCACAAGAGGAAGAGACGGCUAACUCUGUGCUAGCAGCCGCGGUAAUACAGAGGUCUCAAUCGUUGUUCGGAAUCACUGGGCGUAAAGCGUGCGUAGUCUGUUUCGUAAGUCGUGUGUGAAA